CAAGUCGAGCGGACCGACGGGAGCUUGCUCCCUUAGGUCAGCGGCGGACGGGUGAGUAACACGUGGGUAACCUGCCUGUAAGACUGGGAUAACUCCGGGAAACCGGGGCUAAUACCGGAUGCUUGAUUGAACCGCAUGGUUCAAUCAUAAAAGGUGGCUUUUAGCUACCACUUACAGAUGGACCCGCGGCGCAUUAGCUAGUUGGUGAGGUAACGGCUCACCAAGGCGACGAUGCGUAGCCGACCUGAGAGGGUGAUCGGCCACACUGGGACUGAGACACGGCCCAGACUCCUACGGGAGGCAGCAGUAGGGAAUCUUCCGCAAUGGACGAAAGUCUGACGGAGCAACGCCGCGUGAGUGAUGAAGGUUUUCGGAUCGUAAAACUCUGUUGUUAGGGAAGAACAAGUACCGUUCGAAUAGGGCGGUACCUUGACGGUACCUAACCAGAAAGCCACGGCUAACUACGUGCCAGCAGCCGCGGUAAUACGUAGGUGGCAAGCGUUGUCCGGAAUUAUUGGGCGUAAAGCGCGCGCAGGCGGUUUCUUAAGUCUGAUGUGAAAGCCCCCGGCUCAACCGGGGAGGGUCAUUGGAAACUGGGGAACUUGAGUGCAGAAGAAGAGAGUGGAAUUCCACGUGUAGCGGUGAAAUGC
Molecule: ribosomal RNA, 650 nt
Filed under: bacterium St3(2010)
Lineage: Bacteria
Description: bacterial SSU rRNA
Rfam family: Bacterial small subunit ribosomal RNA
Source: RNAcentral